UGAUUGCCUCAGUAGCGGCGAGUGAGCGGCAAAGCUCAAUUUGAAAUCUGGCGUCUUUGGCGUCCGAGUUGUAAUUUGAAGAAGGUAUCUUUGGGCCCGGCUCUUGUCUAUGUUCCUUGGAACAGGACGUCACAGAGGGUGAGAAUCCCGUGCGAUGAGAUGACCCGGGUCUGUGUAAAGUUCCUUCGACGAGUCGAGUUGUUUGGGAAUGCAGCUCUAAGUGGGUGGUAAAUUCCAUCUAAAGCUAAAUAUUGGCGAGAGACCGAUAGCGAACAAGUACAGUGAUGGAAAGAUGAAAAGAACUUUGAAAAGAGAGUGAAAAAGUACGUGAAAUUGUUGAAAGGGAAGGGCUUGAGAUCAGACUUGGUAUUUUGCAUGUUGCUCUCUCGGGGGCGGCCGCUGCGGUUUACCGGGCCAGCAUCGGUUUGGAGCGGCAGGAUAAUGGCGGAGGAAUGUGGCACGGCUUCUGCUGUGUGU
Molecule: ribosomal RNA, 477 nt
Filed under: Candida albicans
Lineage: Eukaryota; Fungi; Ascomycota; Pichiomycetes; Serinales; Debaryomycetaceae
Description: eukaryotic LSU rRNA
Rfam family: Eukaryotic large subunit ribosomal RNA
Source: RNAcentral